GGAUGAUAUGAAAAAGACUGUCUAAACCAGUUCUACAGUCAGCUGCAAGGGUUUUAAGAAGGUCUACAAAAUUCCCAGCUAGUACUUAAGAUCUUCAGGUGACAUCUGGGGAAAACGGAAGAAGAGUGAAUGAAGACUUGUUGGUGCGUCAGCAUGCUGAUCUGUCACAUGCUCCUCAAGGUUCAAUGGACUCAAAAGAGCUACGCUCAAGAGCACAGGCCGGUUGUCAUGGUUUCGAGGGCCUGGCAGAGGCAGGAUUAGGAGCCAUUUUAGGGACAGCUGGCCGGGUCGGUCUCCACCUCCCCUUCAUCCCGCGCAGAGACGCUCAGGGGGGAUGAGGGGGGACAUUGUGCGAGGAUUAGAGCUUCCUGUGUGUC
Molecule: long non-coding RNA, 377 nt
Organism: Puntigrus tetrazona (Sumatra barb)
Lineage: Eukaryota; Metazoa; Chordata; Actinopteri; Cypriniformes; Cyprinidae
Exons: 3
Source: RefSeq, a predicted model, not a curated record